CUUGGUCAUUUAGAGGAAGUAAAAGUCGUAACAAGGUUUCCGUAGGUGAACCUGCGGAAGGAUCAUUAUUGAAUGAAAUUGAGUGGGGUUGUAGCUGGCCUUUCACUGGGCAUGUGCACAUCUCAUUCAACCUCCUUCUAAACCUCUGUGCACUUCUCAUGGGUCUAGGUUGCAUCUGAAAUAAUGUUGAAACCUGACUCAUGUGUUUUUACACACACACAUGUUGUUAUGUUUCAAAGAAUGUCUGUGAUGCAUGAAUUGCAUAUAAUACAACUUUCAGCAACGGAUCUCUUGGCUCUCGCAUCGAUGAAGAACACAGCGAAAUGUGAUAAGUAAUGUGAAUUGCAGAAUUCAGUGAAUCAUCGAAUCUUUGAACGCACCUUGCGCUCCUUGGUAUUCCGAGGAGCAUGCUUGUUUGAGUGUCAUGGUAUUCUCAACUCUUCUGUGUUUUUUUUACUCUCCAAAGAACAUGGUUGAGCUUGGAGUUGGAGGUUUCCAUUGCCGGUGAGUGGGUUGAUCUAAACCCAGACACUGGCUCCUCUGAAACGUAUUAGCUCGAGUAAAAAUCAAGCAUGAUUCAGUGUGAUGAUUGUCUACACUGUUUCAACUUGGGACAUUGGAAAUGCUUGAGCUUCAAAUUGUGUCUCAGGACAAAAUCCCUGAACAUCUGACCUCAAAUCAAGUAGGACUACCUGCUGAACUUAAGCAUAUCAAUAAGCGGAGGA
Molecule: ribosomal RNA, 725 nt
Filed under: uncultured fungus
Lineage: Eukaryota; Fungi
Description: eukaryotic LSU rRNA
Rfam family: 5.8S ribosomal RNA (bases 272-425)
Source: RNAcentral